AUUCCAUGAUGGGGAGAUUCUAGGAUGUAGUCUUGGAAGCGCUCCCAUGCUUCUUGAACGGAUUCGUCAUGUUGUUGAUGAAAACUUGUAAUCUUCCCACGGAGAGC
This 107-nucleotide small nucleolar RNA is filed under the name Sorghum bicolor (sorghum). RNAcentral describes it as "Plant small nucleolar RNA R71". It matches the Rfam family "Plant small nucleolar RNA R71". From Rfam's summary of the family: R71 is a member of the C/D box family of snoRNAs containing the C (UGAUGA) and D (CUGA) box motifs. The record is from Rfam by way of RNAcentral. Lineage: Eukaryota; Viridiplantae; Streptophyta; Magnoliopsida; Poales; Poaceae.